RNAcentral lists this ribosomal RNA (146 nucleotides) under uncultured eukaryote. RNAcentral describes it as "partial 18S ribosomal RNA". It matches the Rfam family "Eukaryotic small subunit ribosomal RNA", at positions 1299 to 1458 of the family's 1831-position model. The record is from RNAcentral.
UGGUGGAGCGAUUAGUCUGGUUAAUUCCGAUAACGAACGAGACUCUGGCCUACUAAAUAGUCCACAGAUUCACCCACGUGGGAGUCUGUGUCGUGACUUCUUAGGGGAACAAGCGUCAACUAGGCCCGCGAGAUUGAGCAAUAACA